GACGAACGCUGGCGGCGUGCUUAACACAUGCAAGUCGAACGGAAAGGCCCUGCUUGCAGGGUACUCGAGUGGCGAACGGUGAGUAACACGUGGGUGAUCUGCCCUGCACUUCGGGAUAAGCCUGGGAAACUGGGUCUAAUACCGGAUAGGAGCCAUUUUUAGUGUGAUGGUUGGAAAGUUUUUUCGGUGUAGGAUGAGCUCGCGGCCUAUCAGCUUGUUGGUGGGGUAAUGGCCUACCAAGGCGGCGACGGGUAGCCGGCCUGAGAGGGUGGACGGCCACAUUGGGACCCGAGAUACGGCCCAGACUCCUACGGGAGGCAGCAGUGGGGAAUAUUGCACAAUGGGCGCAAGCCUGAUGCAGUGACGCCGCGUGGGGGAUGACGGCCU
This 387-nucleotide ribosomal RNA is filed under the name uncultured bacterium. RNAcentral's name for it is "bacterial SSU rRNA". It matches the Rfam family "Bacterial small subunit ribosomal RNA", at positions 28 to 417 of the family's 1533-position model. The record is from RNAcentral.